This 107-nucleotide small nuclear RNA is filed under the name Poecilia reticulata (guppy). Lineage: Eukaryota; Metazoa; Chordata; Actinopteri; Cyprinodontiformes; Poeciliidae. The record is from RNAcentral.
GUCCUGGUUUACUAGGACGUAUACUAAAAUUGGAACGAUACAGAGAAGAUUAGCAUGGUCCCCUGCGCAAGGAUGACACGCAAACUCGUGAAGCGUUCCUCACUUUU